GAGUAAAAGAACAAAACAAUAGAUGAAGAUGAAGGACAAUGUGACCCAGAGUGGGCCUUUUUCUUGUUCUUCUUGAGAAGGAGCGAUGAAGACACAGCCACAAGUGUUGGUUGUUCUGGGGCUCACACCCACCCAUGAGGUG
Non-coding RNA from Caenorhabditis elegans, 142 nucleotides. The record is from Ensembl. Lineage: Eukaryota; Metazoa; Nematoda; Chromadorea; Rhabditida; Rhabditidae.